Molecule: long non-coding RNA, 3492 nt
Filed under: Solanum melongena (eggplant)
Lineage: Eukaryota; Viridiplantae; Streptophyta; Magnoliopsida; Solanales; Solanaceae
Description: long non-coding RNA (SMEL_LNC000052)
Source: RNAcentral
UGUGUGUGGAUUGUAGGGUCCCAUGGCAUUCUUCAAUGACUUGUGAAGACUACCAAAAUCUCCCUUUGGAGGAGAGGGAUGCUGGUGACAUAACUUUGCAUCGCCUGGCACAAAAUAAGAGAUGGAGGCGCUGUUCACAGUGCAGGAGGAUGAUUGAGCUCACACACGGAUGCUAUCAUAUGACAUGCUGGUAAUAUAUUUUGUUCCUUUUAACUUUUUAAUGCAAGAUUCAGGAUCCUAUAUUGGCUUCUGAAUCAGUGAGAAUAGUACCUUGAUAUUCUGAACCUGUUAGCUACAUCUUUAUGUUUUCAUAUCAUGUACUUGUAGAUCCUUAUCUGAUUAAUAUUUCCUGAAAACUGAUGUUGAGAUUUUGGAACAUAAGCUCUAAGUCCCAAAUACUCAUUAUUAGACAAAAGCACUAUUAAACUCAGGAGCUUGGAAACCGAGGAUUCUUCUAAGUACGUGGAAAUGAAGUGUUGGUUCUCCAGGAAUGAUCGACUAUAUCUGAUACAAAGAGAACUAUCUUUCCUCUUUAUAUUCCGUUACCGUCCUGCAUGAGAAUCAUCGAGGAGUAUUGGUUCUUUCCUUUUACACUAUCAGAAAAUAAGUUCUUUUUUAGCACUUCAUGUAGGGAAGUUCUUUUAACAUAUAUAUUGCUUCUUGCAUUUUAUCUGCACCUCAUCUAAUUGCCUAUAUGUUGUAAAAGCGAAAAUCAAAGUUUUCUUAUUGGGAGAUUCUGGAAUAGGAUGGCUGGUAUUGCUGGUAGUGCUAAUAAAUGUACUGGUUUAUCAACCCCUGAAUGGUGAACCUACACAAUCUAAAUAGUGUUGGAGGUAUCUGCUUAUUCACUGGUGUUAAUUUUCCCAUACCCGUACAUUGUAAACUAUGAAAGCUUAUUCUUUAAUAACACAGUAUGAUAUUGAAUCUUUAGUUGUCUUGUUGGAAAAAAAAAUGUACAUACAUAUGUACUGUAUGUGUAUAUGUACAUAUACACACACAUAUAUAUGUAGAAGAAUAUUUAGUGGUUAGUAGGUCUAUCAUCUCUCUAUUAACUUUUUAUUACCCUCAAAAGGCUUGACAGACAAAUUGACUCAAUGUGCUAUUAACGUUAAGCGACCAGACCACCCUUUUCUUUGAGAUUUGGAGUGUCCCAGAUAGCAAAUAAAACAUUAUGUAAAUGAGGCUUAGGAUGCUCACCGGUCAUUUUGGAGUUAUCCGAUAAUGGGAGAGGGGAGUGAGACUCUCCUCAGCUAGAAGCUGAUCUGAAAUAGCUGAAGGCACGGACUACUGCCUGAGUACACUGGGUGAGAAGCUUGGAGUUCGAAGAAGAUGUUCCCUCUAUGUGCAUUAUAGCUCAAUCAUGAUUAAAUAAACACUCUGAUAGCUUGAUGCAAAGCUUAUUAUCCGGUGAUAAAACUACUGGGCUUUGGAAAGCUUCUGAUGGUUAUCUGCACCAGAAAAAGCAGGAAGCAUCUAGUCAACAAGUGUCCUUAGGUGUUCCAACAUCAGUGUUUAUUAUAGUAUUUUGACAGUCUAUAAGCAUACCUACACAGUCUAUAAGCAUACCUACAUACUCUUUUACAAAACUUGCAUUUGUUAAGCAUAUGAGCAAGGAUUGCUCUAUUGAAAGAAUAGAUUUUCAAUGGAUUGACUGGCUGCAAGUGUUGUCAGUGUCUGCUGUUAUUAAGGAGCCUUCAAGAAUCAAUUGACCAAUUUGAUGGAAAGGUUAUCUUAGGGCAAGAUUAUCUUUUGUGAUUUUGGGUGAUGGAUUACAUUUAUGUUCGUGUGAUCAUAAGUUAAUGAUAAGCUUUUAGUGUAUCCUUAAAGCUUUAGUGGAUAAACUGAUGUCCUAAUAUAGUUGGCAAUAUAACUUCUACAUUAGUAUCUGAGCUUGAGUGUGCCCCAAUCUUUGAAAAUAAGUUGUCUCAGAACCAAUAGUUUCUAGCUAUCAAGUGUUUCUGGGUUCCAAGUAUCAUAUCUUGUUUCUAUAUGAGUCUGACUUGCUGUAUUUGUCCCUUUCCAAAUGGUUGGAGUUCUCGAACACUGUUCAAAUUACUACCUCGUACUCUACUGCUACUGAUGCUACUGCUUCUUUCUCCUUCAUCUACUGUUACGUUGCAGGUAGGCAGGCUUUUUAAAAGUAAGUACCCAAGCAGGCCAAUGGUGAAGGUUUAUAGUUAGUGAUUUAAAUAUUAUAUGAAUAAUGGGCAGGGAGUUAACUGAAACGAAAAAAUAGCUACUUGUAUCAGAAAAAUGGGGUAGAAGAGCAAUAAGUUUAUAGCAGUGUCAGAGCAGGGUACAUACAGAAUAAAAAAACGAGAACCUACAAAGGGAAUCUACAGAAAAUAAAUAAAGAAAAGUGAUUCAUGUCUUGCCAAAAGAACUUUUUAAAGUGAGUUGGGUGGUAGUUUGAGGACCAAACCUAAUAACUUGGUGUGUAGAAUUACAUUGAAGUAAGUUGGGCUCUAAUAGUUGGCCUAUUAUUGCUUUUGAAAACAGCAUUUGCUUGACUGGAUACAAAGGAGAGAACAGUUAAAUCACAACUGAUAUAGCUUGACCUGUUUAUUCAUAAUUGAUUUUUUCUUGAACUAUUUAUGAUGUCUUCCACAGCACUAACUUGGAAAGGGACAUUGUUUUAGAUAGUUGGGAAAGUUUACAUCAAAUACUCUGAUGCUCUAAAUGGAGCUAGAAAGCUUAUUCUCAAGAAAAAUCAACCUUCUAUGACUUCUACAGAUCUUUCUUUUAGGUUGCAUAUUUCAUAUUUGUGAGUGUAUUAGUAAGGCUGUCUGCUACGAUUGCAGUCUUGCAGAGGAAAAUUGCAUUCCGAUUGGAUAAUCUAUCUGAGCAUCAGAUGAACAUCUGUAGGAAUGUAAAAUUGAAGAUAAGCUGCCCAAAUGCAUAUGCUGCCCUUUUAUGUCUUUGGAACUUGUUCAGUAUAUACACUGCUGAAAUCGAAGUUGGUGGAUUGAUGAUUUUAAGCAUUGACAGUUUUUUGUGUUUUGUAUUAAAAACUGGCAGGUGUGGGCAUCAAUUCUGUUAUUCUUGUGGUGCGGAAUACAGGGACGGCCAACAGACGUGUCAAUGUGCAUUCUGGGAUGAGGAUUACACUCAAGAUUUGGUAACUCAACCGACACAACAGUUUGAGCAAUGGUCGUGGGACUCAUUUGAGUCGCUGCCUACUAUGAUGGAUGCAUAUUCAGAUGAAGAGAGAUCUCAGCUGGCAUUGAUCCAGAGAUUUCUCGCUGGUGGAUUCAGUCUCACAGACCAUCAAGCGUAUCAUCAAUCCCCACCACGUUGUACAGAUUCUUACGUCGAUGCCAUGAAGGAUCUCCAUCAGCUUCCAUGGCUCGAACGAUUCGUGUCUGUGAUCAGUGACAAUUACUAUGAAGAACACAUCCAGUGAAGUAUAGAUAGAUUUGAAGCCAUUUAGCAUUCAAAUGGGAGAUAAAUGAGUAUCUCACUCUCAAGACUCCUUUGAUAGUUUAAGCAAAU